UUAGCAACCAAGGGGAGCCUUUUGGCUGAGAUUUGAGAAAUACUCAUAACCCUUAUACCUGAUCCGGAUAAUGCCGGCGUAGGAAUGGUCAGAUAUUUUCCC
RNAcentral lists this non-coding RNA (102 nucleotides) under Paraglaciecola psychrophila. RNAcentral's name for it is "TPP sequence". It matches the Rfam family "TPP riboswitch aptamer (THI element)". Rfam says of the family: Vitamin B(1) in its active form thiamin pyrophosphate (TPP) is an essential coenzyme that is synthesised by coupling of pyrimidine and thiazole moieties in bacteria. The previously detected thiamin-regulatory element, thi box was extended, resulting in a new, highly conserved RNA secondary structure, the THI element, which is widely distributed in eubacteria and also occurs in some archaea. RNAcentral also lists the same sequence under 1 other name. The record is from RNAcentral. Lineage: Bacteria; Pseudomonadati; Pseudomonadota; Gammaproteobacteria; Alteromonadales; Alteromonadaceae.